AGAGUUUGAUUCUGGCUCAGGAUGAACGCUGGCGGCGUGCCUAACACAUGCAAGUCGAGCGGAGAUAAGUUGAAGCCUAGCGAUUCUUAUCUUAGCGGCGGAUGGGUGAGUAACACUGGGUAACCUGCCCUGUACUGGGGAAUAACAGCUGGAAACGGCUGUUAAUGCCGCAUAUGCGCACGGAGCCACAUGACUCCGGGCGGAAAGAUUUAUCGGUACAGGAUGGGCCCGCGCCGGAUUAACUAGUUGGCGGGGUAACGGCCCACCAAGGUGAUGAUCCGUAGCCGACCUGAGAGGGUGACCGGCCACAUUGGGACUGAGACACGGCCCAAACUCCUACGGGAGGCAGCAGUGGGGGAUAUUGCACAAUGGGGGAAACCCUGAAUGCAGCGACGCCGCGUGAAGGAUGACGUAUUUCGGUAUGUAAACUUCUAUCAGCGGGGAAGAAGAUGACGGUACCCGACUAAGAAGCCCCGGCUAACUACGUGCCAGCCGCGGC
RNAcentral lists this ribosomal RNA (499 nucleotides) under uncultured bacterium. RNAcentral describes it as "bacterial SSU rRNA". It matches the Rfam family "Bacterial small subunit ribosomal RNA", at positions 8 to 518 of the family's 1533-position model. The record is from RNAcentral.